AGAGGCAGAUUUUCAAAGGCCUCCAAACUCCAAUUAAGAUCAUUUUGGCUUAAGAACACCCUCUCAUUUAUUACAGGAUUUUCUUUAAGUACACAAAAGUUGCAUGCUAUGAUCUACCUUAUUUUGGAAUUAAGAAACACUUGAAGAUUAUUCUCAGAAAUGCCAUAAGGGAUAUUUAAAAAUCUUGGAGCACACAAGAAGUACAAGAGGAAUGAAAAUGUCAUGUCUUAAUUUUCCAAAAAAGAGAAUAUUUUAGUUUUUAGUAUAUAAAGGCAGAUUAACAAACCUUCACACAAAUCUAAAUUUUAUUACUAAAUUAAUUGAUUACACUUUGUGUUUACUAGGUCACAGGGAAUUUCAGUGGGUUUACUCUGCAAAAGAUUUCAUGUGAAAUACAUUUUUCUAUUCUGAAAGGUUUUUCAAGAUUUUCAAGGCAACUAAGAAGUUUUCUAAAAAGACAGUGUUUGUAAUACAGGCUCUAUAGAAAGCAUCGUUGUGGAGGCCUCAGGAAACUUACAAUCAUGGCAGAAGGCGAAGGGAAGCAGGCACAUCUUACGUGGCUGGAGAAGGAGGAAGAGAGAGCAGAGGAAGGUGCUACACAUUUUUAAACAACCGGAUCUCAUGAGAACUCACUCACUAUCACAAGAACAGCAGGGAAAUCCACCCCCAUGAUUCUAUCACCUCCCACUAGCCCUCUCCUCCUUCAACACUGGGGAUUACAACUCCACAUAAGGUUUGGGCAGGGACACACAUCCAAACCAUAUCAUCACUAAUUAAUGUUUCUGAAAGCUAGAGUUACAUUACAACCACCUGAGGAGCUUUUAGAAAAUUACAGAUCCCUGAGCUUCCAUCUAGAUUGAUUAAAUAAAAAUAUCUGGGCUUGAAUUCCUCGAGUUUGCAUUUUUUAAACUUUGUCAGUGAUUCUGAUGGUCAAUGAGUUUUGAGAACCACCGCUCUAAACCUUUCUGAAAUUUCUUCUUGUUCUAUAAAGUGAGGAUAAUAAUAUGAUAAGGAUAUCUCUGUCACAAUUUGAUGUAAGACAUAUAAAUAACUUAACCUAAAUCAGGUUCUCAGCACUGUAUCAGCUUAUAGAAGUAGAACGAGUAUGCAUUUUGCAAAUGAGUUCCUAAUCUAGCUGCAGUAUUUCCUAGGUCUGUCACAGUCAAGUCAUAGGACUUUGGAGAUUCAGUUUCCUCAUUUCUCAUAGGACCUUGGAGCCUCAGUUUUUCU
Molecule: long non-coding RNA, 1230 nt
Filed under: Homo sapiens (human)
Lineage: Eukaryota; Metazoa; Chordata; Mammalia; Primates; Hominidae
Description: HSALNT0191905
Source: RNAcentral